Molecule: long non-coding RNA, 529 nt
Filed under: Arabidopsis lyrata
Lineage: Eukaryota; Viridiplantae; Streptophyta; Magnoliopsida; Brassicales; Brassicaceae
Description: long non-coding RNA (ALYR_LNC002452)
Source: RNAcentral
AGACAUCCUUCACACACUUGAUUUGGAUGAUUGAUGCAAGGUAGUCCUCUCACCAUUUCUUUCUUCGAAAGCAACUCCAAUCCUCAAAAAUUUAGAUGCCCAAAUCGAAGAUGCCAAAGUCAAGACUCCUCCUUGUAGCACAUCUUGAGACAUUGUGCGAUGUCAUUUCGAAUGUUAAGGACAAACAUUCUAUUUUUCGACAUUGGCACCUUGGUAAUGAGAUUGCUUUCUUGGUCUCUAAUAGAAAGGUUAUUAUCUUUUAGUCGAAUAUCAUAAACUUUCUCUCCCCUAUCCAUACAGGAGGGAUGAAAUGAUUGGGGGGGAUAGCGUAGAGGCGAUAGAACGCUAUUUGUCCAAGACUCAAGAUAUUCGUCUUCAUGCUCGGAAUAUAGUAAACAUUUGAAAUAAAUUGAUGAUCUCCAUUCUUCAAUCGGAUGAGAAUGUUUCCUUUGCCUUUUACCUCCAUCUUCGAUUCAUCUCCUAAAGCCACAUUUCCUCUCACCGAUUCAUCAAGCUCCGCGAACAUACU